Molecule: long non-coding RNA, 401 nt
Organism: Neopsephotus bourkii (Bourke's parrot)
Lineage: Eukaryota; Metazoa; Chordata; Aves; Psittaciformes; Psittacidae
Exons: 2
Source: RefSeq, a predicted model, not a curated record
AAGCACCAUGUGCCAGGCACACUGGUAGCACCAUAAAUGCCUCUCCCCAAUAGCUAGUGAAAGCAAAAACCCAAAACGACAGCAGCAGAACCUGGUCUCUUAUCUUUUGAUCACAGGGGUUGAGCACUUUCCAUUCUGAAGACCUUCAGUUAAAUCCCAAUGAACCACGGUUGUGCUGCUUCAAUGUGAAUUUACCUACCCUCCUUUCUCCCAGCACUGACAUCAGAAGUGGAACAGUCACUGUUUGCUCAGUAGACAGGGUUUUGUGCCUUUCAGUCACCUCAGCUUUAGCCAAAUCUUACCUGCACAGAAAUAUGAAUCACAUCUGAGAGGGAAGAGGAGAGGAUGUGACAACAACAAAACAAAUUUUUAAAGGUAUCAGUUCCAAAUCUGAUUUAUUU